AAAAUGUCCACAUAAGUUAUUUCAGUUUUUCCAGAAUGCUUUUUAUUUAUUUUUUACACACUGUCAGUAAACCAGAAGAAUUCAUUUCUUGCACAGUUUGAGCCAUAAACAUCCUGUGAGGUGCCAAGUGAGAGCCAUGGGUAUUCAGCGUCUCAUAGCACAAAGCUCUGCAAGUGUCACAUUUUGAGUGGUUCCUUUUGGAAACUUGAUAGUUUCUCCUUGUGGUCACUGCUGGGAACAUGAUAAAAGGCAAAUGAAUGUCUACAAAUAAAAAAUUACCAAGUCAGCAUGAGUCCUUUCAAGGCUUUGGGUUGGCCUCAGUGCUAGAGUUGGGUAGAGUUGGAAGGGUCAGGCAGAGCCAUUUGUCAGAAGUGAGAGCCAGGGAGGAGGCUGUGAGAUAUGUGCAAAAGUUCUGGGGAGAAGAGAGAUGCCAGGGAAGGAGGCAACAUGACCUCUCUGGGUGGCAGAGGAACUCGGAACACUGCAUGUUAGCCACUAAAUUCAGAAAAAUCUUCUAUCCUAAAUCAGUCUUAUGAGCUAUUGGAUUGCUUAGUUUUGUCUUGCAUUCUCCUUUUCCUCUUCUAAGGAUGAAAGCUGAUCAGCUAAUGAAGAGGAGUUUUCUCUGGCUGAAUAAGAGGCCAAAAAUUCUAAUUAAUUCUGCAUUAACUGAUUUGGACUUUAACGUUGAUAAAAGUUUGACAUGAAUGUCACUGAAGAUGAUUAUUCUCCCAUGCAAUCAAAAACUUCCAAAUCACACAGAGAGCAACAGCGUCUUAAUAAGGAGUGUAUUCUUUACCAUAAUCACCUCUUUCUUUGUUUCUCACCAGCUUUGACUAGAAAAGGCAUUACUGCUACGGAGCACGAAACCACAGGAACUCAUGCAUCACCAUUGCUCAGCACCCUGCCAUUGCACCGUGCCGCGCCGCAGGUCAAAGCAAGCCAUGGCGGGUACCACAGUGGGGCAGGCGGCUGCGUGCGGGGGCAGCUCCUCCCGAGCUCCACCCUCCACCCUGAGAGCAAGAUGCUAGCCUUGAGCCAACAAUCCCUCUCCAAACAUGACUCUGCAGGGUGACUGAGAACCCACCUGAGGGGAGCCAGCAUGGAGAGGGCACUGACCAGGGAAGAGGAUGAUGGCGAGUCAAGCCCUUGCUCAUCCCAAGAAGCUCAGCUUCACCUCUCAAUAUCCUCCCUCAGUGCUCUAAAUAAUUGUACCAGGUACAGAGUCUCUCCCAUGUGCCCUGACAGCCUUUGAAAGCCUAUUGGUGUCUUUGUACAGGAAGGGAAAAUGUCUGAAGUCUCAAAAACAUUCAGAGGAGGAGACAGCAGCAGCCGUCAGAUGUAUCUUUCCCAUCUUUUCAUGACCUUUGCCAUUCUAGAAGGGUACUGAUUAACGUUAGUUUGCUUGUUUUGUGUGCUGAGCCUCAAUGCUACCAGUCUCCACACUGACCUACGCUUUCUGCUCUUUAAGGCUUGAAGAUUUGUAUCUGCUUCAUUGUCGAGUACCAUUUUAUUUUUGGAUUAGUCAAUUCUGGAGUAGUAAAGCACUUCACGCCUGUUAGAGAUUGUCUCUAACAUCAACAAAACUUAAAAAAACAAGUAUACUCUUAACAAAACAAGGGAUAUCAAAA
This 1628-nucleotide long non-coding RNA is filed under the name Anser brachyrhynchus (Pink-footed goose). RNAcentral's name for it is "lncRNA (ENSABRG00000010674.1)". Lineage: Eukaryota; Metazoa; Chordata; Aves; Anseriformes; Anatidae. The record is from RNAcentral.